Molecule: long non-coding RNA, 535 nt
Organism: Chinchilla lanigera (long-tailed chinchilla)
Lineage: Eukaryota; Metazoa; Chordata; Mammalia; Rodentia; Chinchillidae
Exons: 4
Source: RefSeq, a predicted model, not a curated record
GCUGGCAUCUGUCCACCAUAAGGUUUCCAGAGAGGCUGGAGGGCAAACCUGCAGGAGAACAGGGGUGGAGUCAUGGAGCAGGAGGUGUUCUGCAGUGACCCAUGAAGUCUGGUCAGUCCAAUGGCCCUGUGUGAGGCGGGGCCCAAGCCUUGGAGGAGAUGACAGUGGAGUGCUCGAAUCCAGUCUGGCCUCCUCUGCAAGCUCUGGCUCUUGGUCACAGCAUGGAUAUUUGCAGCUUCUUAAUCCUCUAGCUCUUUUCUUCUUCCAUCCCAUUAAAAGACAACCCACACCAUGGCUAUGUGCCUCAGAGGAAGACACUCGUGAUCUUGAGUCUCAUGCAGCACUUGCAGGGAGUCCCACGAGGGGACUGUGGCAAAAGAUUCAGCCUCUCCAGCCUUGACUUCCUCACGUGUAAGAGGCAAGUGGCCAAUCUCUCCCCUCUUGUGGCUGGUGUGAACUGCCUGAAACUAUGGGUGUGAGUGGGAAUCUUCUGGCCCUGUGCCCAGCCCCACCCACUGGUGGUGGAUAAGACAUG